Molecule: long non-coding RNA, 586 nt
Organism: Capsicum annuum
Lineage: Eukaryota; Viridiplantae; Streptophyta; Magnoliopsida; Solanales; Solanaceae
Exons: 4
Source: RefSeq, a predicted model, not a curated record
GGCCUGACCCAGCCCAAUAGAAAACAAGAACCAAAGAACAACUAAAAGCUCGAUAUUUACAAAUCAGGCAGAAGUGUCUAGAAACUGUAAUUGGAAAGUUGACCCUUCAACUUUAUCUUCAUCAUCUCACUCAAAUGCAGCUUUCUCAAAAUCUCCAUGCCUUCUAAUGAUGAAAUGCUCUGAAGAAAGCCGAGCUCAAAUUGAGCUAAUACCAGUGAAAAAAAAAAGCAAGGAAAAUAGUAAGUUAUAUCCUGAGAAGUACCCUUCAUGCUUACACUCCAACAGAUUGAGCUCAAAAUUGAGCUGAUCACUAUUUAAAGUACAAGGAUAGCAGGUUCAAAUGCACGGGCUCCUGACCGUACUUAUCAGUCCAGACUAUUAGCAACAGAUUUAGUGGUGAGUCCUCAUAGUUCGAGGAUAGAGUUAUCAUUUCAGUAUUUCAUUUGUGUAGUAUAUUCAGUAGUCGGAGUUAGUUGGGGACUUGUCCCAUCAACUCCAUGUUCAGACAGUUGAGUCUUUCAGGCUAGACUAUUUCAGAAAGAUGUUCAGUUUUCAGUAUUUAUUUAUCAGUAUUUGAUUUCAGUUA